AGUCGAGCGGUAACAGAUCUAGCUUGCUAGAUGCUGACGAGCGGCGGACGGGUGAGUAAUGCAUAGGAAUUUACCCGAUAGUGGGGGAUAACCUGGGGAAACCCAGGCUAAUACCGCAUACGUCCUACGGGAGAAAGGGGGCUUCGGCUCCCGCUAUUGGAUGAGCCUAUGUCGGAUUGGCUGGUUGGUAGGGUAAAGGCCUACCAAGGCGACGAUCCGUAGCUGGUCUGAGAGGAUGAUCAGCCACAUCGGGACUGAGACACGGCCCGAACUCCUACGGGAGGCAGCAGUGGGGAAUAUUGGACAAUGGGGGCAACCCUGAUCCAGCCAUGCCGCGUGUGUGAAGAAGGCCCUCGGGUUGUAAAGCACUUUCAGCGAGGAAGAACGCCUAGUGGUUAAUACCCAUUAGGAAAGACAUCACUCGCAGAAGAAGCACCGGCUAACUCCGUGCCAGCAGCCGCGGUAAUACGGAGGGUGCAAGCGUUAAUCGGAAUUACUGGGCGUAAAGCGCGCGUAGGUGGCGUGAUAAGCCGGUUGUGAAAGCCCCGGGCUCAACCUGGGAACGGCAUCCGGAACUGUCAGGCUAGAGUACAGGAGAGGAAGGUAGAAUUCCCGGUGUAGCGGUGAAAUGCGUAGAGAUCGGGAGGAAUACCAGUGGCGAAGGCGGCCUUCUGGACUGAUACUGACACUGAGGUGCGAAAGCGUGGGUAGCAAACAGGAUUAGAUACCCUGGUAG
RNAcentral lists this ribosomal RNA (736 nucleotides) under uncultured Gammaproteobacteria bacterium. Its description in RNAcentral is "bacterial SSU rRNA". It matches the Rfam family "Bacterial small subunit ribosomal RNA", at positions 60 to 793 of the family's 1533-position model. Lineage: Bacteria; Pseudomonadati; Pseudomonadota; Gammaproteobacteria. The record is from RNAcentral.